CUUUCAUUUCUGCUUGGUCAGUACAACAGCAGUUCAACAGCGUUUACAUCAAGAUAGCUGCCAGAGCUAUCAACAAGAGCUGAUCCAGAGUUGUGCAUCUUCUGAUCUACGUUAUCUUCUUAAUCUUGACAUGCAGUUUUGUUUUCUUUUUGUUUUUUUGUUGUUGUUUUUUUUUUUCAAAUAAUUGAGGCUUUAUGGUAGAAUUCUUGAAGCUUGAGAGGUAGCCACUCCCCCCUCAUCAAAGUAUAAAAGUCAGGUCAGAAAAGUCAGAUAGCCACACUCAUCUGAAAGACAUCUUCAUCUGAGGAUUACCGUUAGCUGAGAUUAAUUUCCCGAAGACGGACACCCUGAGCCCACCCAAAACCCAACACAUCGUUCAACAGGGUACAAUCAUGAAGGCCACCUUCUCCCUGCUCUUCCUGAUCCUGGCCAUCGCGUGCACUGUGACUGCCCAAACAUACAGAAGUUUCACUGAUCAGCAUUAUCUAUAUGGCAUGACAGUUAGAGAUUGUAAUAAUAGGAUGAAUUUUGUCAAUACAUACUACUAUGGAAACCACUGCAAACCAGUCAACACUUUCAUCACUGGACCCAAUCUAAAUGCCAUCACUGCGGUCUGUGGAAGUGCAGGGCGACCCUACCCCAAGCCGGGCGUCUUUAAUCUGCGCGAGUCGACAACUCAAUUUAAUUUGGUCACUUGCAGAUACGCAGGAGGAUCAGGCCAGCCCCCUUGCACCUAUCGUGCAUACACCGCAACAAGAUUCAUUGUGAUUGCUUGUGAUAGGACUGGAUUACCUGUGCACUAUGAGACAGAUCAUCCAUAAGUCAAGAUCACAUUUGAUAUCUGUGCCGUUAAAAUGCUAAAAGCUAUGCAAAAAUAAAUCCACUGAUUUAACUGGAGCUUAUAACCAGUUGAAACAACAUGCUUCCCAAACUGCUAAUAUUCUGCAAUGCAAACAGCAAUAAAGAUCACUGCAAUAAAGGAUUUUACUGCA
Long non-coding RNA from Anguilla anguilla (European eel), 992 nucleotides. RefSeq lists it as uncharacterized. The record is from RefSeq and is a predicted model, not a curated record. NCBI's taxonomy places the organism in Eukaryota, Metazoa, Chordata, Actinopteri, Anguilliformes, Anguillidae. The transcript is spliced from 2 exons.